Long non-coding RNA from Tachysurus vachellii, 4120 nucleotides. RefSeq lists it as uncharacterized. The record is from RefSeq and is a predicted model, not a curated record. The transcript has 3 exons. Lineage: Eukaryota; Metazoa; Chordata; Actinopteri; Siluriformes; Bagridae.
AUAAUAAUACAAGUAAUAAUAUCCAGAAGCGAUGUUUUAAUGUUACACGGCUUUAAUGCAUUGCUGUAUUGUACUGUACUAGAAGAAGUGCAUAUGGAAUAGACGCAAGAACAUCAUCUAAUUUUUUCUUAUUUAUUUAGAUACUCUAUCUAUCUUUUUAUUAUUUUGCCAUGCCAAGACUCUUUUUAACAUGCUGUCCACUUCACUGAGAUAAACAUAAAAACCUGAUUACACUGGAUACAAAGACACAGUCCAGAGGUCUCUGUUGGUACGAGAAGAGCUCCAAGAACGUCAAACCACAUGCUGUUGUAUGUUAUGCUGAGUAUGUUCCCUCUGACUCAGGAAAUCCAGUUCAAAGCACCAGCAGCCGGUCACGUGAGACGUCAUCAAAUAACCGAGAAUGUAAUAGCAAGACGCUUAAUACAGAAGAACACCUUCAUUAAGACAAACAAAAACUGCAAUAUGUUUAUGAUUAUAGCUGAAUUUCACAAAUAUAACUAACUCAUUUAUUUUAAGGGAUCAAUAAACAGCUCACACUUUUUAGUUUGAAUUACAAUUAGAAUUUUAAAAUAAACUGUCGACCAAAAGCAACAGCGGGGCUUCAUUAAUGCAGUGGCUCUCAAACCAGGGCACAUGAGACAGAAGAAGAAGAAGAAGAAGAAGAAGAAGAAGAAGAAGAAGCGGGUGAGGAAGAAGAAGACCGCAAUGAUCACUGAUGUAAUAACAUUUUCUGGAAAGAUUCAGGAAAGAUAAUCCUUCCUGUUCCAAGUUAAUAUUUCUCAGCUGAUCAUUUUUGGUAAAUCUGUAAAGCCACUCUUUAGAAAUCAAUAUUUGUAGAACAGAACAUUUGAAACAGGCAAGGAUCUAUUCACACAAAAUAACAUAAGUAAAAAAGUACACAAGUAAGGACGUGAUGGUCCAGCGGUCCAAGCUGCUGAGACAUCUACGUUGGGUCCUUGAGCAAGGCCCUUAACCUCACCUGCUCCAGGGGCGCCGCACGAUGGCUGACCCUGCGCUCUGACCCCAGGCUCAUAAUAGCCUGGGAUAUGUGAAAACCAAGGGCAGUCAUGGCCUAAUGGUUAGAAAGUUUGACUCCUAACCCUAAGGUUGGGGGUUCGAGUCUCGGGCCAGCCACGACUGAGGUGCCUUUGAGCAAAGCACUGAACCCCCUCCAACUGCUCCCCGGGCACCGCAGCUGCCCACUGCUCCGGGUGUGUGUUCACUGCUGUGUGUGUGCACUUUGGAUGGGUUAAAUGCAGAGAACAAAUUCAGAGUAUGGGUCACUGUACUUAGCCGUAUGUCACGUCACAAAAGGGGGGGGGGGACAAUUUAGGGAAACAGACAAUUAGUACUCUUGGUACAGAAACAGCAUUUUUCUAACCCAAUAAUAUGUAAAUCUGUAUGUAAGGGAGGUAAAUGAGGCAAAACACUGGGAAAUUUUUAGAUCAACCUGUAUUUCUGAAUUAGAAUUUUUUUUUAAUAAAGAAUCUUAUUUGACAAACGCAGAACAGAAUAUGACAAAAGUGUCAUGUAUUUACAAAAAAGCUGCGUUAUUGUUAGUGGUUUUUGAUCCUUUAAUAAUUCCCCAAGAAUAUGCAAUAUAUAAAGAUCCACUAUUUUCCCCAACUUUUUUGUUUGUUUUCUACAUCGAGGAUUAUAGAAAACACAUUUACCCCAUUCCCAACGCAGUGUCUGGCCAUCAGUAUGUGAUCUAAACCCCCACAAUGCUCUAAAGCUUUGGAAAAGUUGGACCCUUAAAGGGUUACGAAAAUUCCUACACAGUCAGGCCUCCCCUGGUCCACAGUCAAGCAAACAGUUCACACAUGGAAGAAAUCCAGCACUGUUUCUUCCUCCCAAAUGUCCUACAUAGAUCUGUAUACAUCAACAAAGAGUUCCUAAACAACUGACAGAGCACCAUGGGGCUACAGUUAGGGGUCUGUGUUGUAACUGAUUGAACCCAAAAACAAAAAAUAAAAAAUAAAAAAUAAAAAAUAAUUAAUAAUAAUUAAUAUUAAUAAUAAUAAUAAUAAUAAUAAUAAUAAUAAUAAUGUCAUGUUUAUGGAAGGUUACCACAACAGGAUACCACUGUUUUCUAAAAGAAAAACCUCCUAGAAAGCAAUGUGAUAAUGUUGUGUAGAGAGAUGACAAACGUUCAUACCUGUAUAUUCAAAUGCAACUAAUCAGCCAAUCGUGGAGCAUCAGCACAAAACAUAACAUCAUUCAGGGACAGGGACUUCAUGAGCAAGAAGGCAAUGAAUCAUCACUCUGUACAGUCAGGGCAAGCAGAAAAGUAUCUCAGAACAUAUCAAACCAUGAGGUGAUGGGAUACAAAACCGUAUCGAGGUUCAUUCCUGGAAAUCCAGACACAUGAAGAUCGGUAAAAGGAAAACUGGCCGACUUUGAUUAAUCUGUUCUUUGUCGUGAAUAUUAUUUGAAACUCUUGACCUGUAUCUGCAUAACGUUAUUGCAUUUGGGUUACAUGCAAAAGACAAACUUUUCAGUUCAGGAUGAAGUCCAAGUUUCACCACGUGAAGGAUUUUCUAUGACUAUAUACAUGUCUGAAGUAAACAAAACACUGCAUAGCAACACCAAAACCUAGUGAUGGGAGUAAAACCGUGUGUGUCUGCUCUUGAUUCUUUAAGAUCUAGAAGGCUUGCUUAACUGAGUCACCAAUAAACACUAAUAAAGUCAUAUCAGGAAACUCCACGGCAUCACUUCAGGGCAUCUGCCUACGAUCCAAGAGUUAUGCAGUGUGACAAUAAUCCUAAACACAUGUGUAAACACGAGUAGCUAUUUACUCAAACAGAAGAUAUUUUGGCCACUGACCUCAACGCUGUUGAUAAGCGAUAAAUGGAUCUGAGGCAGACCAUUCAAACAUUAUAUAAAAGAACAAAAACAAUUUUGUAAAGAUGUAAGCAUUAACAUGGCUGAAACACUAAUCAGAAACAAAAACUGGAAGGGUAUUGUCAAUAAAUCAGGUUCUGCUCAGUAGCAAAUGUUGACCGUUUAAAUCAUUGUUUUGAUAAAGAUGACAGAUGCUCUGAAAUAAAUCUGGAUCUCAGAUUACGAGCCAUUCACUCACAAAUCCAGAUAAAGCCAAAGGAUCUAUAAACUUUUUAUUCCCGCUAACAUAUUUAUGCGACUUCAUUACAAAGGCUAAUUUUACAUUAAGCAAAGAAACAUACAGGAAAAUAAAUAUGCAGCAUAACUGCUGUAAGCCCAGGCCACGGAUUCACCCCCGGAGUGACAGACUAAAUAAAGACGUGCAUUAGAAUGCAGUUCACAUGACGUGGUUCAAAAAUGUUCACCUUAAUUCCUACUGAAAGCUGAACAAGCCAGGCCUCGUCUUUGAGGAUUUGAAACGUUUAAUAGCUGAAUAGUAAACCAUCCACAAUGAAACCAGUUUAGUGAGGGUGUGUUUUCGUUCCUUCUUGCUGAAAUACUGUUGUAGGGAUGGAACUUAAAAAAAAUCAGUUAUUUAGAUUGAACACAAUGUGUUCUAAACGGAUACAUAUAGGCGGCAACAAGAAAGUUCAGAGGAAUGUUCACAUAGGGUCUGGUUAGAUUAGAGGUUGGAUUAGGGGAGUGCAACAGGACUGUGACAAACACUCACAAACACACAGCAAAAAAAAAAAAGUCACAAAAGUUAACGCCCUUCCAGUUUAGGCCACACCCACAGCUUGUUUCGAAUACAGAUAUGAAUAUUCGGAGCGCUAAAAAGAUCCAGAUCCAGAUCUGGCAUUGCAUUACACCACUAAAUUAUAUAUAACUAAGUGGUCCAGAAUAUAAAUGGUUAAGUAAAGAACAUCAGAAAAAGAUCAAAAGGCGGCAGGUGGUGUUCCAUUACCUACAGAAUGGCCGGAGAUCCUCAGGUGCCAAACAGCAGUAACAGAAGGAGCAGUGUUGCCUUACUGGCUCUUGUCAUCAGUGUAAUCCCCAACAGCUAUUUGUGACACUAAACACCUUGGAGUCGAACGUCGUAUUUCACAUGAUAGGUGUAAUUCAUGUAGAGUUAAGAGUUAUGGCCUGGGUCAUGUUAUAUUUAUUAAUUGAUCUGAAGUUCAAUUCAGUUCACCCCAUACAGGCAGGCGACAAAAAGCUGGCUCUGGUAUUUCACAUG